AUUGAACGCUGGCGGCAGGCCUAACACAUGCAAGUCGAGCGGAUGAAGGGAGCUUGCUCCUGGAUUCAGCGGCGGACGGGUGAGUAAUGCCUAGGAAUCUGCCUGGUAGUGGGGGAUAACGUCCGGAAACGGGCGCUAAUACCGCAUACGUCCUGAGGGAGAAAGUGGGGGAUCUUCGGACCUCACGCUAUCAGAUGAGCCUAGGUCGGAUUAGCUAGUUGGUGGGGUAAAGGCCUACCAAGCCGACGAUCCGUAACUGGUCUGAGAGGAUGAUCAGUCACACUGGAACUGGGACACGGUCCAGACUCCUACGGGAGGCAGCAGUGGGGAAUAUUCGACAAUGGGCGAAAGCCUGAUCCAGCCAUGCCGCGUGUGUGAAGAAGGUCUUCGGAUUGUAAAGCACUUUAAGUUGGGAGGAAGGGCAGUAAGUUAAUACCUUGCUGUUUUGACGUUACCAACAGAAUAAGCACCGGCUAACUUCGUG
Molecule: ribosomal RNA, 484 nt
Filed under: uncultured bacterium
Lineage: Bacteria
Description: partial 16S ribosomal RNA
Rfam family: Bacterial small subunit ribosomal RNA
Source: RNAcentral